Molecule: ribosomal RNA, 408 nt
Filed under: uncultured bacterium
Lineage: Bacteria
Description: partial 16S ribosomal RNA
Rfam family: Bacterial small subunit ribosomal RNA
Source: RNAcentral
GACGAACGCUGGCGGCGUGCUUAACACAUGCAAGUCGAACGAAGUGGCGAACGGGUGAGUAACGCGUAAUCAACCUGCCCUUCAGAGGGGGACAACAGUUGGAAACGACUGCUCAUAACACAUACUGAAGGAGGGGAUGGCGUCUGAUUAGCUAGUUGGAGGGGUAACGGCCCACCAAGGCGAUGAUCGGUAGCCGGUCUGAGAGGAGGAACGGCCACAGUGAGACUGAGACACGGCCCAGACUCCUACGGGAGGCAGCAGUGGGGAAUCUUCCGCAAUGGACGAAAGUCUGACUGAGCAACGCGGCGUGAGUGAUGACGGCCUGCGGGUUGGAAAGCUCUGUUAAUCGGGACGCGGUACCGGAAUAGAAAGCCACGGCUAACUACGUGCCAGCAGCCGCGGUAAUUC